CUACAGGGGAAGUCGGUGAUCCUAUGCUGCCAAGAAAAUCUUCUAGCGAGGUUCGAGCCGCCCGUACCCCAAACCGACUCAGGUGGUUAGGUAGAGAAUACCAAGGCGAUCGAGUGAAUCGUGGUUAAGGAAUUCGGCAAAAUACCCCCGUAACUUCGGGAGAAGGGGGGCCCAGAGGGUGACGGGACUUGCUCCCCGAGCCUGAACGGCCGCAGAGACCAGGGAGAAGCGACUGUUUACUAAAAACACAGGUCCGUGCCAAGUCGCAAGACGAUGUAUACGGACUGACGCCUGCCCGGUGCUGGAACGUUAAGGGGACCGGUUAGCCUCACGGCGAAGCUGAGAACUUAAGCGCCAGUAAACGGCGGUGGUAACUAUAACCAUCCUAAGGUAGCGAAAUUCCUUGUCGGGUAAGUUCCGACCUGCACGAAAGGCGUAACGAUUUCUCCACUGUCUCAACCACGAACUCGGCGAAAUUGCACUACGAGUAAAGAUGCUCGUUACGCGCAGAAGGACGGAAAGACCCCGGGACCUUUACUACAGCUUGGUAUUGGUGUUCGGUACGGCUUGUGUAGGAUAGGUGGGAGACUGUGAAGCUGACACGCCAGUGUCGGUGGAGUCAACGUUGAAAUACCACUCUGGUCGUUCUGGAUAUCUAACCUAGGUCCGUGAUCCGGAUCAGGGACAGUGCCUGGUGGGUAGUUUAACUGGGGCGGUUGCCUCCUAAAAGGUAACGGAGGCGCCCAAAGGUUCCCUCAGCCUGGUUGGCAAUCAGGUUUUGAGUGUAAGUGCACAAGGGAGCUUGACUGUGAGACUGACAAGUCGAACAGGGACGAAAGUCGGGACUAGUGAUCCGGCGGUGGCUUGUGGAAGCGCCGUCGCUCAACGGAUAAAAGGUACCCCGGGGAUAACAGGCUGAUCUUGCCCAAGAGUCCAUAUCGACGGCAUGGUUUGGCACCUCGAUGUCGGCUCGUCGCAUCCUGGGGCGGGAGUAGGUCCCAAGGGUUGGGCUGUUCGCCCAUUAAAGCGGUACGCGAGCUGGGUUUAGAACGUCGUGAGACAGUUCGGUCCCUAUCCUCUGCGCGCGCAGGAAACUUGAGAAGGGCUGUCCCUAGUACGAGAGGACCGGGGUGGACGAACCUCUGGUGUGUCAGUUGUUCUGCCAAGAGCACCGCUGAUUAGCUACGUUCGGGAGUGAUAACCGCUGGAAGCAUCUAAGCGGGAAGCAUGCUUCAAGAUGAGGUUUCCAUGGGGUUUACCCCGAGAGGCUCCCAGCUAGACUACUGGGUUGAUAGGCCGGAUGUGGAAGUGCGGUAACGCAUGGAGCUGACCGGUACUAAUAAGCCGAUAACUUGAC
This 1357-nucleotide ribosomal RNA is filed under the name metagenome. RNAcentral's name for it is "bacterial LSU rRNA". It matches the Rfam family "Bacterial large subunit ribosomal RNA", at positions 1579 to 2925 of the family's 2925-position model. The record is from RNAcentral.